RNAcentral lists this long non-coding RNA (3414 nucleotides) under Nicotiana tabacum (common tobacco). Its description in RNAcentral is "long non-coding RNA (NTAB_LNC017458)". Lineage: Eukaryota; Viridiplantae; Streptophyta; Magnoliopsida; Solanales; Solanaceae. The record is from RNAcentral.
UUUUUUUUCUUUUUUGGUGGAAUGUGGUUAUAGCCCUUGGUCCCUUUUGAGGGUUUUGUCGAAAAUAUCAAGUCCCCAGACCUUUUUCGGGGCGUUUUGUAUAAGCGACUCAUAGUUUAUGACUAAGUUCAUACUUAGUCUAAACUUUUCAAUAUUAAGAGGUUUUCUAUUUAACUUAGUUAUUUUGAACUCCUGUUUUGCUCAUUCUUGCCUUUAUCUUUAAGGACUUAUUGAAUAAUUUGCACUUUUAUCUCAUAAAAUGCUUUCUUAACUUCAUGAAUGUUUAAAUUAAUUAUGAAUUUUAUAAAAGAAGGCCCUUUUAUAUUUGAUACUUAAUGGUGAAGAUGUCUCAACUUCAUAAUGGUGUAAAUGUACGAUAAAAGAAAUAGGAAUACAAAUGGUUCUUGAAAUAACUUUGAUAAAGUUUUCAUUUGAACUUUGUCAAGUUUUAAAUAACAUCUUCAUAUGUAAUUAAAUAACUUCUAUAACUUUUUUGUAACUGUUUUCUUUACAACAGAUUUGAAAAAAAGAAAAUAAAACACAAGAUUUUUAUUUAUAACCCGUUUCUGUACAUUGCCUUUAACCUAACUAUGAUAAGGUUUUCUUUGGCUUUAUUUUAUUGGCUCGUAACUUUGCUCUGCACUUGAUUCAUUCAACGAGUAAACUUCUCGGGCUUUGACUUGAACUUUGAUUAUUUCUUAAUCUUCUUUGCCUUCUUUAUACAUAUGUCUAUGUAUAUUAUAUAGUCCCCCAAGUGUUUGAGCUUUGAAGUAUGAAGUCUCGAGCACUUGAUUACUCCUUUUAUUUUUUCAUUUUCCUGAAAAGGAAUAAAACAUAAGGGACUCGGAGGUAUGAUUAUAGAUGAAGACUGCUUAACCCGUCUUAAUUUCCAUCAGAAUAGUUGUAACCCUAGACCGGGAAUUUAUUCUCUUCCACAUGCCUUGUAGGUCGUGAUUCAUCAUUUAGUACGAGUUAACUUUUUGCCUAUAAUAUAAAAUCGUUAGUAAAAUUUUAACAAUUCAAAAAUAAAAUUUUAAAAUGAGGAUACCUGACCAUGGGUACUCCUUAGAAAUAGUAUCUCUUCAGGUGAACAACAUUCCAAUGUGAAGGUAAUAUCUUGCCAUCCAUUGUUUCCAGCUCGUGACACAACUCCUUUUUACCACUCGAAGGGGUAUACAAGGGAGUUUUUCCAAUUUAAGUGACAUUAUUCGAAAUGAGGUUAUUUAUUUAUUUUAUUAGAGUCACUACUUGGGAUAUUUAUUAUGGUGUCCCAAGUCACCGGUUUAUUUUAAAAUCCCAAAUCGAGGAAAUUUUGACUUUAUUUUAAAAGUCUGCGAACCAAAAAUUCUAAGUAAGGAAUUCUGUUAACCCGAGAGAAGGUGUUAGGCAUUUCCGGGUUCCGUGGUUCUAGCACGGUCGCUUAAACUAUUAGUAUUGGCCUAUUAUCUGAUUUACUACAUAUUUUAUACCUAUUGUGCAUUUUUAGCUUUAUAACCGCUUUUAUUUAUUUAAGAAAUUAUUUUACGGAACACAUUGCAAACCAUGCUACAUGAAAUGCACCCGUGAUUUGCGUUAUAUUUAUUUUUUUAUUAUUUGAAGUUGUGGUCGAGUCACAUAAAAUGCACACCCUAAUUGAGUUUUACGUAUCAUGACCACGCUACGUGAACCGUACCCGUGAUCAUGAUAAAUUUAUUAUUAAUCGCGCCUAAAGCAACUAGCGCAUCUUCAUAAUUGAAUUGUUUCUUCCUAAAAAAAACAACUUUGAGAUUACUAAGGUCAUGGAUCAUGGACCUGGAAUGAGUUGGAGGUCACAUUAUGGUUUGGAUAUUUGGAAUUAUUCGUUAUGGAGGAAAGAGAAAGGAGAAUAGUUUUGAUUAAUACGUUCAUGCCUAGAAGACCUUAAAAUGCUAACCAAACCAAAGUGACUUAAGCCCAAAUCCUUGUCUAAUUUAUCCAAGACCCAACAGAUUAUCUUUAAAAGAAUGUGACCCAUCCUACUCCCUAAACUAAAUGAAAAUCCCUCAUUCUGAUUCUCUCAAAUAUCAAAUAACACAAUAGCCUUAUCAAUAAUUAGACAAGAUAACAUCAAAUGGGCUAGAAAAGAAAAUUAUUAAGCUAUGGAAAUAUCAUGCUCGCAUUUAGCGUGUAGGUGAACAACUCAUAGUUUUAAGCAUUCGUUAAUCUAGCUUCAAAUACACUAAGUAAAUCAAAAGAACAAACAAAGCAAUUCAAGGAGAAUAACCAGAAAAAUAAUAUCUUAACAAAUCAUGAAAGAAAAUAUCUAACUAAUGAGCAAACAACAAUUAAGAAAUAGAAGUUCAUAGAGUAAGGCGAAGAAAAUGAACCUUUGAGUGAAAUAAAGUUCUUUCAUUUGAUUAAAAUUUACAACAUCUAAAAUCAACACCGAUGAGCUCAAACCGAGAAAGCUGAAAACUUUGACUGAAACUAGAUCGGAAACUUCAAACGACAUCGCCGGAACCUCGGACCGGCGAACUCGAACAUCGCCUCACUUUAAAGAUGGUUUCAGAACUGAGUUUGGACUGAUUUUGAAGUUGUUUUGCUGGGUCAUCUCCUGCUAAGUUUUUGGCUAUUUUUGAGCUGGAUUUUGCUGGGUUUUGGCAAGGAAUUCGAGCUGGAAAUGGCUGGUUUUGGGGUUAAUUGUUGCUGUUUUUUUUUUACUGUUUUUGGAGCUGAAUUUUAGCUGGGUUUGAGGUGUUUUCAGAAAACCGAGCUCAUUUGAGGUAGUUUAAAGUGGUAUUUUGGUGUUGAUUUUGGGUGGAAAAGGGAGCAGCAAUUUGGACUGUUUUGCAGCUGAUUUUUGCUGCUCUUCCUAGCUGUGAUCACAAAUGGUUUUGUUGCGAUUUUAGAACUGAUUUUGAUGGCUGAAAUACUGGAGCUUCAAGGCUGGUUUUCAUGGAUGUUUGGAUCUGGUUUUUAGGUGGCUUUUGGGGUUAGUUUUGGGGCUGAAAUUUGUGGUUUAACAGAACAGAUAAAUGGAGAUGAAACCUAUGGGUCUUUCAUGGUUAUUCAGUGAGGAAGAUGAAGUUGUUUUUGAGGAAGAAGAUGGGCAACAGUGCUGCGUUUUUUUUUCUUCCUCUUUUUUUAGCUCUAAGGUUCCUCCUCUAUUGUCCUCUCUCUUCUCCUCCUGUUGUGUGUCUUGUGUGUAUUAUUUAAGAAUAAGUGGGGAGUGGGUGGGGAACAUGAGUGGGGAGAGUGGGAACAUGAGCAGGGAAAGUGAGGAAAAUGGGUAGUGAGUGGAGAAAGUGGGGGAAGUGGAAAGUGAGUGGGAAAAGUGAGAACAAAUUCAAACAUGGUCAAAAAUUAGUUGCUCACAGCUCGUAUGCUUCUUUUCCUGCGAUAUUGUGAAUCUUGUAAGGUCCUUCCCAAGUUGGACUUAAUUUUCCUGUGUUACCC